UGGUCAGUUAUUAAGGGUGCAGGGCGGAUGCCUUGGCACUAGGAGCCGAUGAAGGACGUGAUAAGCUGCGAUAAGCUUCGGGGAGUUGCACGUAAACUUUGAUCCGAAGAUUUCCGAAUGAGGAAACUCACUUAGAGUAAUGUCUAAGUAUCAUUAAGUGAAUACAUAGCUUAAUGAGGGGAACUCAGGGAACUGAAACAUCUAAGUACCUGAAGGAAGAGAAAGAAAUUCGAUUCCGUAAGUAGCGGCGAGCGAACGCGGAUUAGCCCAAACCAAUAAAGUUUUCUUUAUUGGGGUUGCGGACAUAUCAUAACGAAGAGGUAUCGUAAUUGAAGAGGUUUGGAAAGACCCACCACAGAAGGUAAUAGUCCUGUAUGUUAAACGAGAAGACUUCAGAUAUGAUCCAGAGUACCACGGGACACGUGAAACCCUGUGGGAAGCAGGAGGGACCACCCUCCAAGGCUAAAUACUACCUAGUGACCGAUAGCGUAUAGUACCGUGAGGGAAAGGUGAAAAGAACCCCGGGAGGGGAGUGAAAUAGAACCUGAAACCCUGCACUUACAAGCUGUGGAAGCACAUUUCUUGUGUGACCGCGUACUUUUGUGAACGGGCCAACGAGUUACGUUAAGUAGCAAGGUUAAGCACUUAAGGUGUGGAGCCGUAGCGAAAGCGAGUUUUAACUGAGCGUUCAGUUACUUGACGUAGACCCGAAACCGGGCGACCUACCCAUGAGCAGGAUGAAGCGAAAAGUAAAAUUUCGUGGAGGUCCGAACCCACGAGCGUUGAAAGCUCGGGGAUGACUUGUGGGUAGCGGUGAAAUUCAAUCGAGCCCGGAGAUAGCUGGUUCUCCCGAAAUAGCUUUAGGGCUAGCCUCAAGGUGAGAGAUACGGAGGUAGAGCACUGAAUGUCCUAGGUAUUGCACCUACCGAAGACUAUCAAACUCCGAAUGCCGUCAUCUUAUACUUGGGAGUCAGACUGUGGGUGAUAAGAUUCAUAGUCGAAAGGGCAACAGCCCAGAUCGUCAGCUAAAGGUCCCUAAAUGUAAGUUAAGUGGUAAAAGGAUGUGGGAUUGCACAGACAACCAGGAUGUUGGCUUAAGCAGCCACUCAUUCAAAGAGUGCGUAAUAGCUCACUGGUCGAGUGAUCCUGCGCCGAAGAUUUCCGGGCUAAAACUUACUACCGAAGCUACGGCAUCAGUAAUGAUGGGUAGGGAGCUUCCCAUACAGGUUGAAGCAUGACCGUAAGGACAUGUGGACAGUAUGGGAGUGAGAAUGUUGGCAUGAGUAGCGAGAUGUGGGUGAGAAUCCCACAGGCCGUAAACCCAAGGUUUCCAGGGAAGGUUCGUCCGCCCUGGGUUAGUCGGGACCUAAGCUGAGGCCGAAAGGCGUAGGUGAUGGACAACAGGUUGAUAUUCCUGUACUACCGAUAACCGUUUGAGAGAAGGGAUGACACAGUAGGAUAAGCUAAGCACUGUUGGUUAUGUGUGCCCAAGCAUUGAGGCAGUCAAAGUAGGCAAAUCCGCUUUGAUAAUGCUGGGAUGUGAUGGGGAGCGAAAUUUAGUAGCGAAGUAGCUGAUUUCACACUGUCAAGAAAAGUCUCUAUCGAGGUUAAAGGUACCCGUACCGCAAACCGACACAGGUGGGUGAGGAGAGUAUCCUAAGGCCAGCGAGAGAACUGUUGUUAAGGAACUCGGCAAAAUGACCCCGUAACUUAGGGAUAAGGGUGCCACCAUCAGUGGCCGCAGAGAAUAGGCCCAAGCGACUGUUUACCAAAACAUAGGUUUCUGCUAAGUCGCAAGACGAUGUAUAAGACUGACGCCUGCCCGGUGCUGGAAGGUUAAGGGAUCUGUUAGAGCAAUCGAAGCAGUGAACUUAAGCCCCAGUAAACGGGCAGCCGUAACUAUAACGGUCCUAAGGUAGCGAAAUUCCUUGUCGGGUAAGUUCCGACCCGCACGAAAGGCGUAACGAUUUGGGCACUGUCUCAACAACAGACUCGGUGAAAUUGUAAUUCCGGUGAAGAUGCCGGAUACCUGCGACAGGACGGAAAAGACCCCAUGGAGCUUUACUGUAGCUUGACAUUGGGUUUUGGUACUACAUGUACAGGAUAGGUGGGAGGCUUUGAAACCAGGACGCCAGUUUGGCGGAGCCAUCCUUGGGAUACCACCCUUGUAGUACUGGGACUCUAACCAUAGGCCAUGAAUCUGGUCUUGGGACACUGUCAGGUGGGCAGUUUGACUGGGGCGGUCGCCUCCCAAAGGUAACGGAGGCGCUCAAAGGUUCUCUCAGUCACGGUCGGAAAUCGUACGUAGAGUGUAAAGGCAAAGAGAGCUUGAUUGCAAGACAUACAGGUCGAGCAAGGAUGAAAAAUCGGACUUAGUGAUCCGGUGGUUCUGCGUGGAAGGGCCAUCGCUCAACGGAUAAAGCUACCCUGGGGAUAACAGGCUUAUCUCCCCAAGAGUCCACAUCGACGGGGAGGUUUGGCACCCUCGAUGUCGGCUCAUCACAUCCUGGGGCUGUAGUAGGUCCCAAGGGUUGGGCUGUUCGCCCAUUAAAGUGGUACGCGAGCUGGGUUCAGAACGUCGUGAGACAGUUCGGUCCCUAUCCGUCGCAGGCGUAGGAAAUUUGAGAAGACCUGUCCUUAGUACGAGAGGACCGGGAUGGACGUACCUCUGGUGUACCAGUUGUUCUGCCAAGGGCAUGGCUGGGUAGCUAUGUACGGAAUGGAUAAGCGCUGAAAGCAUCUAAGCGCGAAGCCAACUUCAAGAUAAGAUUUCCCACCGUAAGGGUAAGACCCCAGAAAGACUAUCUGGUUGAUAGGUCGAAGGUGUAAGUGCAGCAAUGUAUUUAGCUUAUCGAUACUAAUAGGUCGAGGACUUGACCAAUAUUAUUUGAUGUUCACUU
Molecule: ribosomal RNA, 2900 nt
Filed under: Clostridioides difficile
Lineage: Bacteria; Bacillati; Bacillota; Clostridia; Peptostreptococcales; Peptostreptococcaceae
Description: 23S ribosomal RNA
Rfam family: Bacterial large subunit ribosomal RNA
Source: RNAcentral